UACGGGGGGGGCAAGCGUUGUUCGGAAUUACUGGGCGUAAAGGGCUCGUAGGCGGCCAACUAAGUCAGACGUGAAAUCCCCAGGCUCAACCUGGGAACUGCGUCUGAUACUGGAUGGCUUGAAUCCGGGAGAGGGAUGCAGAAUUCCAGGUGUAGCGGUGAAAUGCGUAGAUAUCUGGAGGAACACCGGUGGCGAAGGCGGCAUCCUGGACCGGCAUUGACGCUGAGGAGCGAAAGCUAGGGGAGCAAACGGG
Molecule: ribosomal RNA, 253 nt
Filed under: uncultured bacterium
Lineage: Bacteria
Description: partial 16S ribosomal RNA
Rfam family: Bacterial small subunit ribosomal RNA
Source: RNAcentral